UGGCGGCGCGCUUACACAUGCAAGUCGCACGAGAAAGUGGAGCAAUCCAUGAGUAAAGUGGCGUACGGGUGAGUAACACGUGGAUCAUCUACCUCUUAGUGGGGAAUAACCCUGGGAAACCGGGGCUAAUACCGCAUGAGCCUGAGAAGGGAAAGCAGCAAUGCGCUGAGAGAGGAGUCCGCGGCUGAUUAGCUAGUUGGUAGGGUAAAGGCCUACCAAGGCAAUGAUCGGUAGCCGGCCUGAGAGGGCACACGGCCACACUGGCACUGAAACACGGGCCAGACUCCUACGGGAGGCAGCAGUGGGGAAUCUUGCACAAUGGAGGAAACUCUGAUGCAACGACGCCGCGUGAGCGAUGAAGCCCUUCGGGGUGUAAAGCUCUUUCGACGGGAACGAUAAUGACGGUACCCGGAGAAGAAGCUGCGGCUAACUACGUGCCAGCAGCCGCGGUAAUACGUAGGCAGCAAGCGUUGUUCGGAAUUACUGGGCGUAAAGAGUGUGUAGGCGGUUCUCUAAGUUCGGUGUGAAAUCUCCCGGCUUAACUGGGAGGGUGCGCCGAAAACUGGAGGGCUUGAGUAUGGGAGAGGAAAGCGGAAUUCCUGGUGUAGCGGUGAAAUGCG
Molecule: ribosomal RNA, 620 nt
Filed under: uncultured bacterium
Lineage: Bacteria
Description: bacterial SSU rRNA
Rfam family: Bacterial small subunit ribosomal RNA
Source: RNAcentral